RNAcentral lists this ribosomal RNA (290 nucleotides) under uncultured bacterium. Its description in RNAcentral is "partial 16S ribosomal RNA". It matches the Rfam family "Bacterial small subunit ribosomal RNA", at positions 338 to 620 of the family's 1533-position model. The record is from RNAcentral.
CCUACGGGGCGCAGCAGUGGGGAAUAUUGCGCAAUGGGCGAAAGCCUGACGCAGCGCCGCCGCGUGAGGGAUGAAGGUCUUCGGAUCGUAAACCUCUGUCAGCAGGGAAGAACGGUCACUGUGCUAAUCAGCAGUGAAUUGACGGUACCUGCAAAGGAAGCACCGGCUAACUCCGUGCCAGCAGCCGCGGUAAUACGGUGGGUGCGAGCGUUAAUCGGAAUUACUGGGCGUACAGCGCUCGUAGGCGGUAUGUCAAGUCAAGGGCGUAAUCCCCGCGUUCAACGCGUGAA